Poecilia latipinna (sailfin molly) is the source of this 479-nucleotide long non-coding RNA. RefSeq lists it as uncharacterized. The transcript has 3 exons. The record is from RefSeq and is a predicted model, not a curated record. NCBI's taxonomy places the organism in Eukaryota, Metazoa, Chordata, Actinopteri, Cyprinodontiformes, Poeciliidae.
AACUUUUACAUUUAUUUCCACAGACACUCCACAGAAUGGGAGUCACAUUUGUGUCAAUCAGAAUCUUCAGGAACGUCCUGAUGUCCGUGAUGAGGACAGAGAUGCAACUGUGUCUGCAUCCAGGACCUACUGCCAGUCAUCCAGAUGUAGCUAAAGAAAGAAGCAGCUGAUGGAGGAAGGCAGAGAGUACUGGCAGCAGAGGACGUGGCAUUCUGGGAGGAUGGCAGCUAUGAGGCGGUGUCAGGAUGGACCCCAAGUUCCUCCAUCCAGGAGCUCAGUGACAUCAGGACUACAAGACAGGAAGAGACGUCAGGUCUAUGCUACAGGAGAGAUGUUGGGCCUGUCCUGAAUGCAGCAUAAUGUUUGAUCAUGUUUGGACAAAAAACUCUGCCAGAUGGUCCAGAAAUUGACAAGCAUUUAUGUCUUAUUUUGUGUGCAAACAGUAAAAAAAUAAAAAAAAAUAAAGAAAAAAAAAACUU